This 974-nucleotide ribosomal RNA is filed under the name Streptomyces regensis. Its description in RNAcentral is "bacterial SSU rRNA". It matches the Rfam family "Bacterial small subunit ribosomal RNA", at positions 57 to 1047 of the family's 1533-position model. Lineage: Bacteria; Bacillati; Actinomycetota; Actinomycetes; Kitasatosporales; Streptomycetaceae. The record is from RNAcentral.
GCAAGUCGAGCGAUAACACACUUCAGUUUGCUUCAUUGCUGAACAGCGGCGUACCGGUGAGUAAUGCUGGCCUAUACGCCGUUUGGUGCCCUGCAACCGGUGUCAACUACUGCAAAUACCGCAUGUUGUCCUGGGACGAGGUUGGGGGCUCUUGCGGUCUCAGAUGAACCCACGGCCCAUCAUGUUGUUGGUGAGGUGGUGGCGUACCGGCGCACCGACGGGUAGAUCCCCUGAGGGUUUGACCGGAUGAUCUGGGAACUGGGACUGACACGACUCCCACACUCCUACGGAAUGGGGAAUAGUGCAAUAUGGGCGAAAGCCUGAUGCAGCGACGCCGCCUGAGGGAUGGUGGCCUUCGGGUUGUAAACCUCUUUCACCAUGUCAGAAGCGAAGAAGGGGGUACCUGUAAAAGAAGCUCCCUGUAACUACACUUACACAACAGCCACCAUAUAUCUGCGGGACACCUUGUCCGGAAUUACUGAGGGUGAAAAGCUCAUACGGAGUUUGUGGCGUCAAGUGGUACACCCCGGGUUUGUACCCCGAGACUGCAAUCCCUACGGCUUACCUUGAGAGCUGCAUGUCAGACUGGAAUUCUAGAUUUAGCUAUAAGAUGCUCAAAUUUCAGGAGUAACGCCGAUGUGCAAAGAGAAUCUCUGGAACAUUACUGACGCUGACGAGCACCUGCGUGAACAGCGACCCUGAUGAAAUACACUGUUAGUCCACAACGUAAACAGAGACCCUUAUAUGUUGGCGACAUUCCAAUGUCUACUAGCCGCAGCUAGCCCAUUUUCUGCCUUGCAUGGGGAGUACGGCCGUAGGCUAAAACUCAAGUACAGUGACAGGUCCCACACAAACGAAUUGCAUGUGGCCUUAACUCGACGCAGCGCAAGUAGCCUUACCAAGGUGUGACAUAAACAGGAUAACGUCAGGCUUACAGAUACCCCCCAUUGUGCUAGGGUACAUGUGGGGGCAUG